UCGAUUUUAAUCAUUUUUUCAGUGAAUGACAUAGGCUAUAAUUAUAUUUUAUACCCGUGCGAAGCCGGAGCGGGUCGCUAGUUAUGAAUAAAAACACGAAUAAUCAUUGUACUUAUAGAUAAAAAACUGUGAGGCAGUAUAACGACGUUGUAUAUCUGUGUUUAGUUUGUAUAUCACAAGGCCAAGACAUGCUAUUUAAGUAUUCAUUUUUUUUUUCUUAGUAUGAAUGAGUGUGACGUGUUGAGUAUUUGGUUUUAAUACGACUCAGGUAGUUAGUUACAAUGGCCUCGCAGUGACGACGAUUAUCGACGUCCCUGGGCUCGUGAAAGGCCAGGACUUCAGUCUUCUAAGGCUACCUCUAACCCGAGAGCCCGAAUUCUGGGCACCACCAGCGCGACGCUGCCUCGCAGUCGCACUUAGAGGGGCUAUUUGCGAGGUCCAUUUUUUUAAUACACAAGUUAUUUUGUGAGCGUAAAAGAGAUCAAAUUAAUAAAGCGUCUUUGAUAUAAUCGUAAAAUUGAGGCAUCUUUAAAUGCGAUGCUGUGGGCACGGCCCACCUUUACCCAUGUCUACGCUAUGUCACUGUCAGAAAUAUAUUGCUAGAAGGCAUAUAAAUUAGAGAUAGAAAAAUUACUGGAAUCAGUUGAAAUUCAGAAAUGAUCAAAAUGAAUUUAUCUUCAUAAUAUAUUUUUAUCAAUAACGAUAUUUUUGUAAUAUUGCUACAAGCUUCUAAUGUUGUAUGACUUAUGAAGAAAAUGUUAUAAGAUGUUACAAUAGAUGAUUUCAGAUCUCUAAUUUUCUUUUUUGUAUGCACGACGAUGUUUAUGUAUAUUUCAGUAAAAGCUUCUACGCACUAAACCAAUCGUAUGGUUAAAAAAAUAUAUCAAAUACAACAUCCAGUACAAUAAACUAAUGUUUUUUAUUCAAUCUAUCCUUUUUAAUUUGGUCAUACUUUAACAAAAAUUUGUAAGAAAAAAUUAUCUUUUUAAAACUACAAAUCUAUCUUCU
This 1008-nucleotide unclassified non-coding RNA is filed under the name Melitaea cinxia (Glanville fritillary). RNAcentral's name for it is "misc RNA ENSMCXG00005021171.1". Lineage: Eukaryota; Metazoa; Arthropoda; Insecta; Lepidoptera; Nymphalidae. The record is from RNAcentral.